This 584-nucleotide long non-coding RNA is filed under the name Cavia porcellus (domestic guinea pig). Its description in RNAcentral is "lncRNA (ENSCPOG00000034481.1)". Lineage: Eukaryota; Metazoa; Chordata; Mammalia; Rodentia; Caviidae. The record is from RNAcentral.
UUUAUGUUGCAUUUCUUGCCUCUUACAGAUGUGAUAUACGUCUCAGCUGCAGGCAGUGUGCUCUGCCAGAUUGUUAACGCCCUACUGUUACUCCCAGUGUCAGUGGCUCGUCCCCUGUUGAGUUACCUCCUGGAUCUCUUGCCACCUCUUGAUUGCCUUAAUAGACUCCUGCCAGCUGCUGCUCUUCUAGAAGACCAAGAGUUACAGUGGCCUCUUCAUGGAGGGCCAGAAGUAAUCGAUCCUGCUGGUGUUCCAUUACCUCAGCCCGCUCAGUCUUGGGUGUGGCUUGUGGAGCUGGAAAGAACAAUUGUUCUCCUUAUCGGGCGGUGUCUUGGUGGCAUGCUUCAGGGUUCCCCCGUGUCUCCAGAGGAACAGGAUACUGCUUAUUGGAUGAAAACACCACUUUUCAGUGAUGGAGUUGAAAUGGACACUCCUUAGCUAGAUAAAUGUAUGAGUUGCCUGUUAGAAGUAGCUCUUUCUGGAAAUGAAGAACAGAAGCCUUUUGAUUAUAAAUUGUGGCCUGAAAUUGCUGUCUAUGUAGACUUGGCAUUGGGUUGUUCUAAAGAGCUGGCCCGUAGCCUUUG